This 148-nucleotide non-coding RNA is filed under the name Nomascus leucogenys (northern white-cheeked gibbon). The record is from Rfam by way of RNAcentral. Lineage: Eukaryota; Metazoa; Chordata; Mammalia; Primates; Hylobatidae.
GCUGGGCAUGGUGGUGCACACCUGUGGUCCCAGCUACUCAGGAGGCUGAGGUGGGAGGAUUGCUUGUGCCCAGGAGGUCAAGGCUGCAGUGAGCCAUGAUUGUGCCACUGCACUUCAGCCUGGGCAACAGAGCAAGACUCUGUCUCAA